GACGAACGCUGGCGGCGUGCCUAAUACAUGCAAGUCGAGCGGACGAAUCGAAAGCUUGCUUUUGAUUCGUUAGCGGCGGACGGGUGAGUAACACGUGGGCAACCUGCCCUGUAGACGGGGAUAACACCGAGAAAUCGGUGCUAAUACCGGAUAACACGAAAUGUCGCAUGACGUUUCGUUGAAAGACGGCGCAAGCUGUCGCUACAGGAUGGGCCCGCGGCGCAUUAGCUAGUUGGUGAGGUAACGGCUCACCAAGGCGACGAUGCGUAGCCGACCUGAGGGGGUGAUCGGCCACACUGGGACUGAGACACGGCCCAGACUCCUACGGGAGGCAGCAGUAGGGAAUCUUCCGCAAUGGACGAAAGUCUGACGGAGCAACGCCGCGUGAGCGAAGAAGGCCUUCGGGUCGUAAAGCUCUGUUGUUAGGGAAGAACAAGUAACGCAGUAACUGGCGUUACCGUGACGGUACCUAACGAGAAAGCCACGGCUAACUACGUG
This 498-nucleotide ribosomal RNA is filed under the name uncultured bacterium. Its description in RNAcentral is "partial 16S ribosomal RNA". It matches the Rfam family "Bacterial small subunit ribosomal RNA", at positions 28 to 507 of the family's 1533-position model. The record is from RNAcentral.